UUAAUUAUUUGUAAAGUUAAACAUUCUUUGUAUGGAAUCAAUCGUCAUUACACCGAUAAUAGAUAUGAUUUUCACGACCUUUUUUAUUUAAUACUCGUCAUCUGGUCGAUCACGAUAUUCAUUUCGAAUGAUAUUCGAUAACUCAUGAGGUGUAUAUUGAUGUUUGAAGUCACGGACCCCGUUUACGAUGGACGUGCGAUGUAACUGGCUGUCAAAAGUACAAAACAUCUUACCAACCAGCAAUACAAUACUGAAGCAAAGGCUGCUAUUUGGCCGAUUCCACUUUAUGUUAAAAAGAAGAUAAUCAAGUUUUCAUGUACAAGGGUGAUAGUGACAACAGCAAACUGGCUGAUGUGUAUCUGAAAAAAGAUGCAGGGACACCACUGCUGCCAGAAAAGUUCACCUUGUCGAAGGAGCAAAUAUAUGUACGGUGUGUGAUAUGGUCACAGCAUGCCGU
This 457-nucleotide long non-coding RNA is filed under the name Anneissia japonica. RNAcentral's name for it is "uncharacterized LOC117106597, transcript variant X3". Lineage: Eukaryota; Metazoa; Echinodermata; Crinoidea; Comatulida; Comatulidae. The record is from RNAcentral.